AGCGAACGCUGGCGGCAGGCCUAACACAUGCAAGUCGAACGAACUCUUCGGAGUUAGUGGCGGACGGGUGAGUAACACGUGGGAACGUGCCUUUAGGUUCGGAAUAACUCAGGGAAACUUGUGCUAAUACCGAAUGUGCCCUUCGGGGGAAAGAUUUAUCGCCUUUAGAGCGGCCCGCGUCUGAUUAGCUAGUUGGUGAGGUAAAGGCUCACCAAGGCGACGAUCAGUAGCUGGUCUGAGAGGAUGAUCAGCCACAUUGGGACUGAGACACGGCCCAAACUCCUACGGGAGGCAGCAGUGGGGAAUCUUGCGCAAUGGGCGAAAGCCUGACGCAGCCAUGCCGCGUGAAUGAUGAAGGUCUUAGGAUUGUAAUAUUCUUUCACCGGGGACGAUAAUGACGGUACCCGGAGAAGAAGCCCCGGCUGACUUCGUGCCAGCCGCCGCGGUAA
Molecule: ribosomal RNA, 449 nt
Filed under: uncultured bacterium
Lineage: Bacteria
Description: partial 16S ribosomal RNA
Rfam family: Bacterial small subunit ribosomal RNA
Source: RNAcentral